UACGUAGGGUGCGAGCGUUAAUCGGAAUUACUGGGUGUAAAGCGCGUGCAGGCGGUUGGCUAAGUUGGGUGUGAAAGCUCCUGGCUCAACUGGGAGAGGUCGCUCAAGACUGGCCGACUGGAGAGCAGUAAGGGAAGGUGGAAUUCCGGGUGUAGUGGUGAAAUGCGUAGAUAUCCGGAGGAACACCAGUGGCGAAGGCGGCCUUCUGGACUGCUUCGACGCUCAGACGCGAAAAGCUAGGGGAGCAAACGGGG
Molecule: ribosomal RNA, 254 nt
Filed under: uncultured bacterium
Lineage: Bacteria
Description: partial 16S ribosomal RNA
Rfam family: Bacterial small subunit ribosomal RNA
Source: RNAcentral